Molecule: long non-coding RNA, 390 nt
Filed under: Gorilla gorilla gorilla (western lowland gorilla)
Lineage: Eukaryota; Metazoa; Chordata; Mammalia; Primates; Hominidae
Description: lncRNA (ENSGGOG00000044281.1)
Source: RNAcentral
ACGCUUCCUGGAAGAGAUGCAUUGCGGAGCUCGCUAGUGGGGUGUUGGCUUUCCUUAGGAGUGUGAGUCUAGCGUUAGCUGUUUUUUCCCGGCUGGGUCCCGGGUUACCCCACCAGCCCGACCUCAACCCACUCGCGUCCACAGCACGAGCCCCAGCAGCCUUGCGCGGUGCUUGCUCUCUAGUAGCGGCUGACUAGGUCAGUCAGGAUCUUUGAUUUUGGAGCACAAGCCUUCUGCGUGCUACUGACUGGGUCCUGGCCUCCCUCCUUCCAUGGCACCGUCGUGAAUGGGAAUUUCCACCACUGCCUCCAUUAGGUGCAAACUCACUUUUAGAAAAACAGUGAACCAUGGGACUGUACUAACAGAAGAACAACAAAUGCCCACCACAAG